GCCAUUGCAGCUGAUGACAGAACUUUUUUCCCCAUCAGAUCGACCAUGUUGAUCUCUUAACUACUAGCCAGUUUUUUGUCUGAUGCAUUGGC
Molecule: small nucleolar RNA, 92 nt
Organism: Loxodonta africana (African savanna elephant)
Lineage: Eukaryota; Metazoa; Chordata; Mammalia; Proboscidea; Elephantidae
Gene: SNORD12
Product: small nucleolar SNORD12/SNORD106
Source: Ensembl